RNAcentral lists this unclassified non-coding RNA (3699 nucleotides) under Hevea brasiliensis (rubber tree). Lineage: Eukaryota; Viridiplantae; Streptophyta; Magnoliopsida; Malpighiales; Euphorbiaceae. The record is from RNAcentral.
AAUUUAUAUAAUUGAUGGUAUAAUUUUUACUAGCAAUCAUAUAAAAAAUCAUUGAGUAUAAUUCGCUCAAAACUUUAUAAUUCUAAAACUAUUCAAUUAUCUUUAUUUUUGAGAUACAUCAGUUCUUUUCUUUGAAGCGUUGUUUAAUUUCAUUUUAACAGUAGCUUUACCAGCCUGCCAGUUCCUUUGUCAGCUGUGAAACAGCAACUUUGAGAAACACUAAUUGCAGUGAUGGGAAGGAAAUCAAAGAAGGAGCUGAGUCUUGCCAAUAGGACUCGGGUGGAAAACCAGAAUCUUGAUAAGUUGAGCCGUCUUCCAGAUGAUAUAAUUUAUAUCAUCCUCUCAUUCCUUGGGCCGAAUGACAUUGUUAGACUAUAUGUCGUCUCCAAAAGGUUGAGGCAGUUGUGCAUAUCCAGUCCUUUCUUGUCUUUUGACGUAAAUUUUGAUUCCAAAAGUUGCACCAGCAAGUGUAAUUUGUUCAGAGAGUUUCUCAACAAUCUUUUGACUCUGCAAAAGCAGCUGUGUUCAUUGCAGAUUUCUCGUUUUCAUCUCUUAUUGGUUUUGUCAUCACAAAGAUAAUAGCAAAACAACUCUCUUCAAUAGGUUGCUUGAAAAGGCUACAAGCUGUAACGUUGAAGAGAUUGACAUUAAGCUUGGCCCUGCAACAUGGAAAUCCUUCCCCAUUGCCUGCUUGUGUCUAUGACAGUCAAUCUCUAAGGGUGUUGAAUUUGAUUUGCAGGGUGGCAAACUCAAUUGCCUGCCUAAAGAGUUCGCAUUGCUUGAGGUCUUGUCCCUGACUUCAGUAAAGCUAGCUUCUGGUGGUAUGUUGAGCGCAUGGAUUUCUACUUAUUUCAAAUCCCUUACAACUCUGAAAUUUGAAUUUCAAAUCCCUUACAACUCUGAAAUUUGAAAAAGUUUACGGGAUCAACAAUCUCUUGAAAAUAUCACACAUCAAGGAAAUAAUUUUAAGGUAGACAGGAAUUGGGUAUUAAGGAAUGUGAAACACCCUCAGAAUUGGAAACGUCCGCAUAUUGCCAAAAGAAAGUUCCGCGCUGAUAUUAAUUGUUCAUCUCUUAAAAGUUAAGGAAUUUUCGAAUGCCACUUUGAGGAGUUGCAUCUCUCCAUUGUCAGCCACUCGCUUAAGGAUUUGCAAAUUUUGAAGUGUAACAUUUAGGACCUUUUCAAUAUCAGUGUUGCGGCAGAAGAGAUUCAAACAGUCUGUUGACAUGAUCUUGCACUUCUUCUGCAACAGAAAUGGCAGUUUCAGUAUUGAUUCUGGGAAAUUGAAAUCUCUAAAAAGCGCAAGUCUUAAUCUUGGAGCCAAUCUGCAUGAAGAAUUCCAAGAGAAAGGGUUGGUUCAGCUUCUUGAAAGCAUAAGCUAUGUCCGGACUUUAGAAAUAGACAUUGCGAUUAUCCAGGCACAUAAAAAUUUCCUUUGCAUCUCUUGUUUCAUGGCAGGUAGACAAAACGUACACACCUUUUGAAUUUUUUGCUUUCAAUCCAUAGUUGAAUGGUGUUCACCCACCUUAUCAUCAUUGCAGGCUUUGUAUAUGCAAAAUAUGCAUAUUGCAUUUAACAACCUUCAGCACUUGGUGGUAAAUGUUGACAAAUUGCAACAUCACCACAUUGCAGAAAUUGCCUCAUUUCUCGAGGGGUUGAGAUUGGAUUUGGGUAAUUUGAGAACUCUAACAGUCAGGUGCAGUGAAAGUCAAACUGAAUUUACUGAAUUUGAGGUGGGUGGUUGAAUUUUCUAAACAUCAGUCUCUUUCUCAACUAUAUGACCGUUUUAUAAGAAUACAUGUUUUCUGCUUCUUGCAGUUUGUCAAAUCACUGAAAAUGUAGUUGGACGAUUUGGGAACGAGAAUGACUAAUCUUAAAAUUACAUGCUUGGAACCUCCUAUUGUACAACUAGAGUGGUAGGCACCCAUUCCCAGCUCAAAUUCUCACAAGGACAAUAUUGACUUCCUAUCUCAGACAUGCAAGACUUGUAGAGGCGUAGAGCAGAUAUAAGAUUCAAGUUAAAGUCUAAUCAGGCUCAAAAAGAUUGCUCAGCAGCAGUUCAAUAAGACUUCACUUUCUUUUAUUUUAUAAUUUCUAAGUUUCAUGUUUUCUUUCUCCUGAACUUAUAAUAUAAAAAAUUUUAAUAAAAAAUAUUUUUCAAACUUAAUGGCUUAUCAGUCUUUUUCUUGGGUUUGGUCCUAGGCUUUCCGGUUGGUUCCUUAGAAAGGAAUUCUAGUCUAGUUACUGGGGGGCAUUACAUUAAGCAAGUACAUUCUAGUUUUAGUAGUAGCCAUUUAUUUUUUUUUUUAUUUCUAAACUUGCUUUGGAACAUCCUAUAGUUGACAGUUCACAUGCAAAUGUAUGCAUUUGCAGCUUUUCCCAACAUAUACAGCUGAAAAUGAAUAAUUAAGCUACAUAUAAGAAACAAAAAUUAAGAAAAGAUCAUGUUUAUUACCUUGAGACACUUUCCCACUCGCAUAGAAAUUGUUGGCGUCAACUACAUACCAUACAUUUCAACCAAGAUGUUGUUGCUAAUCUCCUCAUCCUUCAUCAAAUGUGUAACUCCUUCGAAAUCCAAUAACUAAGAUUAAGUAGUGAAAUUUAGAUCACUUCGUUCUUAGAGCAACCCAAAAACGAAAACAGCAACAAUAUGAGAAGUUUUAAAGUAGUAAUAUUUGUGUCAAAGAUCAUCACCUUCAAAAUUCACAAUUGUUUCAUUUUUUAAAGAGGUAAUGGAACAUAAGCACCAAUUUUUUUGAGGGACAUACAAAAAUCCUUGGCAAUUUGACACCUCCAUGAUUAACUGAAACAUGAAAUAGGCAACCACAAAUAUAAUGAGUGGCUAAACAAAAAGAAAUCUUAAGAUCAACCUCAAAGUUAUUAAUAAUGAUCCACCUAUGAACAUCAAAAUUGAAACUCCAAUCACAAAUUUCUCCACUGAAAAAUCCUAUGUUGAGUUAAACAAACCAAAAAUCCAUCUCCAGUCAUGCAUUUCCAUCUCAAAGUAAAUCAAAUAGUAAGAAGUAACCAUUAUUCAUGUGAAGAACUUCCUCAAUAGACUAAAUUAGAGAAAAAAAAAAUCUCAUAACGAGUCAGUUAAUAAAAGAGAAAUUGGUAAAGCGCUCUAAUAUCACAAAAAAAAGAAAAAAGUAUCAGAAAAAUUGUGUCUCAAGCUCUCUUCUUCCGAGGCAGUGCAGGUCUCCUGCCCAUGGCCGAAGUAGUCUUGGCGGAGACUGGCAUCAACCCGCGCAGAAUUGCUAUUACCCCAAAACCCAUAAAGGGAGAGUGAAUCAUCAACAAUUUAUCCGAUGCCUUGCCAGACCCCAUCAGCUCAGCUAAUACAGCAGCCAUGGAAGUGAACAAGGAGGAGCCAUAGAUCAAGCAGGUGGUGCUAAACCAAGGCUUGGAAGCCAAAAUCCCAUACAAAUUGAAAAGUGCGAGAGGCCAUUGAAAGAGGAGCUCGAGCCAAACAACUCCGACGAAGAAAUGGGGCUUCUCAGAGAGGAGAUAGUCGCCGUACUCUUGGCUGUACCACUUCUUUAGAUCGAUCAAGAAGUCUGGGAAGUAGCUGGAUGGGAGACAUGUCUGCGCGUCAAUCAACGGCGCCGCCACCGCGAUUACGAGAAAGAAGAAGAGGAGAACUGCGUCAAUCAACUUCGUAAAUGCGCCCAUUUUUCAGAAGAGAAACCCCUGUAGAGU